This 459-nucleotide ribosomal RNA is filed under the name uncultured bacterium. Its description in RNAcentral is "partial 16S ribosomal RNA". It matches the Rfam family "Bacterial small subunit ribosomal RNA", at positions 29 to 523 of the family's 1533-position model. The record is from RNAcentral.
AACGAACGCUGGCGGCAGGCCUAACACAUGCAAGUCGAACGAUAAGCCACCUUCGGGUGGUGGGCAGUGGCAGACGGGUGAGUAACGCGUGGGAACGUGCCUUUCGGUUCGGGAUAACCCAGGGAAACUUGGGCUAAUACCGGAUACGCCCUUCGGGAGAAAGAUUCAUUGCCGAAAGAUCGGCCCGCGUCGGAUUGGCUAGUUGGUGGGGUAAUGGCCUACCAAGGGAACGAUCCGUAGCGGGUCUGAGAGGAGGACCAGCCAACCUGGGACUGAAACACGGCCCAGACUCCUACGGGAGGCAGCAGUGGGGAAUAUUGGACAAUGGGCGAAAGCCUGAUCCAGCCAUGCCGCGUGGGUGAAGAAGGCCUUAGGGUUGUAAACCCCUUUCAGCGGGGACGAUAAUGACGGUACCCGCAGAAGAAGUCCCGGCUAACUCCGUGCCAGCAGCCGCGGUAA